RNAcentral lists this ribosomal RNA (227 nucleotides) under uncultured Lactobacillus sp. Its description in RNAcentral is "partial 16S ribosomal RNA". It matches the Rfam family "Bacterial small subunit ribosomal RNA", at positions 136 to 354 of the family's 1533-position model. Lineage: Bacteria; Bacillati; Bacillota; Bacilli; Lactobacillales; Lactobacillaceae. The record is from RNAcentral.
UACGGGAGUAACAACCUGGAAACAGAUGCUAAUACCGGAUAACAACAGAUGAUGCCUAUCAACUGUUUAAAAGAUGGUUCUGUUAUCACUCUUGGAUGGACCUGCGGUGCAUUAGCUAGUUGGUAGGGUAACGGCCUACCAAGGCGAUGAUGCAUAGCCGAGUUGAGAGACUGAUCGGCCACAUUGGGACUGAGACACGGCCCAAACUCCUACGGGAGGCAGCAGGG